Molecule: ribosomal RNA, 548 nt
Filed under: uncultured bacterium
Lineage: Bacteria
Description: bacterial SSU rRNA
Rfam family: Bacterial small subunit ribosomal RNA
Source: RNAcentral
UGGGGAAUUUUGGACAAUGGGCGCAAGCCUGAUCCAGCCAUGCCGCGUGCGGGAAGAAGGCCUUCGGGUUGUAAACCGCUUUUGUCAGGGAAGAAAAGGUUCUGGCUAAUACCUGGGACUCAUGACGGUACCUGAAGAAUAAGCACCGGCUAACUACGUGCCAGCAGCCGCGGUAAUACGUAGGGUGCAAGCGUUAAUCGGAAUUACUGGGCGUAAAGCGUGCGCAGGCGGUUAUGCAAGACAGAGGUGAAAUCCCCGGGCUCAACCUGGGAACUGCCUUUGUGACUGCAUGGCUAGAGUACGGUAGAGGGGGAUGGAAUUCCGCGUGUAGCAGUGAAAUGCGUAGAUAUGCGGAGGAACACCGAUGGCGAAGGCAAUCCCCUGGACCUGUACUGACGCUCAUGCACGAAAGCGUGGGGAGCAAACAGGAUUAGAUACCCUGGUAGUCCACGCCCUAAACGAUGUCAACUGGUUGUUGGGAGGGUUUCUUCUCAGUAACGUAGCUAACGCGUGAAGUUGACCGCCUGGGGAGUACGGCCGCAAGGUUG